This 306-nucleotide long non-coding RNA is filed under the name Elaeis guineensis (African oil palm). Its description in RNAcentral is "long non-coding RNA (EGUI_LNC031974)". The record is from RNAcentral. Lineage: Eukaryota; Viridiplantae; Streptophyta; Magnoliopsida; Arecales; Arecaceae.
CUUAAACUUUUAUAAUGUUGCAAUUUUUUCUUUAAUUGCUACUUUCGUCUGACGACUAUGAUGGAAAUGUCACAUGCUAUUAUGUAAUACAGUAAAAGUUGAUGUGGCAUAGAAUGAGCUGACGUAGAAUUUUAAAUAUUUUUUUUCUCACUUGUUUCUUCUAGCUAAAAUUUUUAUUUUUCAUUUCAUCAUUUUUUCUCCACCAUGACCUCCUCUAAAAUCCCCACCACCUCUUACAUCAGCAUCAGUAUCUCCGUCUAUACUAUUACCAUCUCUAAAUCCUCCAUCAUGGCUACCACCACCACC